Molecule: ribosomal RNA, 437 nt
Filed under: Psychrobacter muriicola
Lineage: Bacteria; Pseudomonadati; Pseudomonadota; Gammaproteobacteria; Moraxellales; Moraxellaceae
Description: bacterial SSU rRNA
Rfam family: Bacterial small subunit ribosomal RNA
Source: RNAcentral
GAUGACAUUAGCUGCAGAAUAAGCACCGGCUAACUCUGUGCCAGCAGCCGCGGUAAUACAGAGGGUGCAAGCGUUAAUCGGAAUUACUGGGCGUAAAGCGAGCGUAGGUGGCUUGAUAAGUCAGAUGUGAAAUCCCCGGGCUUAACCUGGGAACUGCAUCUGAAACUGUUAGGCUAGAGUAGGUGAGAGGGAAGUAGAAUUUCAGGUGUAGCGGUGAAAUGCGUAGAGAUCUGAAGGAAUACCGAUGGCGAAGGCAGCUUCCUGGCAUCAUACUGACACUGAGGCUCGAAAGCGUGGGUAGCAAACAGGAUUAGAUACCCUGGUAGUCCACGCCGUAAACGAUGUCUACUAGUCGUUGGGUCCCUUGAGGACUUAGUGACGCAGCUAACGCAAUAAGUAGACCGCCUGGGGAGUACGGCCGCAAGGUUAAAACUCAA